GAUCAAGCGUCUUAAGUGCAUCUAGUGGAUGCCUUGGCGUGUGCAGGCGAUGAAGGACGUAAUACGCUGCGAUAAGCCUCGGGGAGCUGCGAAUAAGCUUUGAUCCGGGGAUUUCCGAAUGGGGAAACCCGACCAUUUAGGUCACCCGCAAGGGAGCUAACCCAGGGAACUGAAACAUCUAAGUACCUGGAGGAAAGGACAUCAAACGAGACUCCGUUAGUAGUGGCGAGCGAACGCGGACCAGGCCAGUGGCCUUUUGGUAAGAACGGGAAGGACUUGGAAAAGUCCGCCAGAGUGGGUGAUAGCCCCGUACCGGUAGAAAGCCAGAAGGUCCUCGAGUAAGGCGGAACACGUGAAAUUCUGUCUGAACAUGGGUAGACCACUAUCCAAGCCUAAGUACUCGCACACGACCGAUAGCGAACCAGUACCGUGAGGGAAAGGUGAAAAGCACCCCGACGAGGGGAGUGAAAUAGUACCUGAAACUGGAUGCAUACAAACAGUCGGAGCCCGCAAGGGUGACGGCGUACCUCUUGUAUAAUGGGUCAUCGACUUAGUCUGUCUAGCAAGCUUAAGCCGUUAGGUGUAGGCGCAGCGAAAGCGAGUCUGAAUAGGGCGUUAAGUUAGACGGAUUAGACCCGAAACCGAGUGAUCUAGGUAUGAGCAGGCUGAAGGUAAGGUAACACUUACUGGAGGGCCGAACCCACGUCUGUUGAAAAAGACGGGGAUGACUUGUUCCUAGGGGUGAAAGGCCAAUCAAACUCGGAAAUAGCUGGUUCUCCGCGAAAGAUAUUUAGGUAUCGCCUCAGACGAAUACCUCGGGGGGUAGAGCACUGGAUGGGCUAGGGGGUCUCACCGACUUACCAAACCUAACCAAACUCCGAAUACCCGAGAGUACUAUCUGGGAGACAGACGGUGGGUGCUAACGUCCAUCGUCAAAAGGGAAACAACCCUGACCUACAGCUAAGGUCCCCAAGUCAUAGUUAAGUGGGAAAGCAUGUGGGAUUACUCAGACAACCAGGAGGUUGGCUUAGAAGCAGCCAUCCUUUAAAGAUAGCGUAACAGCUCACUGGUCAAGUGAUCCUGCGGCGAAGAUGUACCGGGUCUAAAACUAUGCACCGAAGCUUAGGGUUUGCAACUUGUUGCAAGCGGUAGCGGAGCGUUCCGUAAGCCUGCGAAGCGGUACCUGUGAGGGGCCGUGGAGGUAUCGGAAGUGCGAAUGAUGACAUGAGUAGCGACAAAAAGUGUGAGAGACACUUUCGCCGAAAGUCCAAGGGUUCCUGCGCAAUGCUAAUCAGCGCAGGGUUAGCCGGCCCCUAAGUCGAGGCAGAAAUGCGUAGACGAUGGGAACCACGUUAAUAUUCGUGGGCCUGGUGGUAGUGACGGAUCUCGCGGGUCUGUAUCCCCUUAUCGGAUUGGGGGUGCAGUGAGCAGGUUCCAGGAAAUAGCUCCACCGACAUAGACCGUACCCGAAACCGACACAGGUGGACUGGUAGAGUAUACCAAGGCGCUUGAGAGAACUAUACUGAAGGAACUCGGCAAAUUGCACGCGUAACUUCGGGAUAAGCGUGACUUCUGUCUGGGCAACCAGGCCGGAGUGUCACAAAAGAGGGGGUGGCGACUGUUUAUCAAAAACACAGGGCUCUGCGAAGUUGCAAAACGACGUAUAGGGUCUGACGCCUGCCCGGUGCCGGAAGGUUAAAAGGAGAGGUUAACGCCUUGAAUUGAAGCCCCGGUAAACGGCGGCCGUAACUAUAACGGUCCUAAGGUAGCGAAAUUCCUUGUCGGGUAAGUUCCGACCUGCACGAAUGGCG
Molecule: ribosomal RNA, 1811 nt
Filed under: Nostoc sp. 3335mG
Lineage: Bacteria; Bacillati; Cyanobacteriota; Cyanophyceae; Nostocales; Nostocaceae
Description: bacterial LSU rRNA
Rfam family: Bacterial large subunit ribosomal RNA
Source: RNAcentral